GCCAGGUGGGUGUGGACGGCAUGGGGACGCGCCGCGUGAACUUCCCGGGAGCGCUGUGGCGUGCAGAAGGAGAGGACUUGGUGAGGAGCUGCUGCCACCCGAGCUGGGCCAGGACCUGAGAUCUCAUUGCUACUGCUGCUGCUGCUGUCUGGGAGACCUUUCUGAGACCCAGGUUGGGGACAGUGCCGGAGGGGCCUCCUCUGCUGCAGACAUCUGGAACCAGGUGCAGAUGGGUCUCUUCCUUCCUGCCCACCGUCUCUCACUCAACCCCUGCUCAUGCGCGCUCUCCAGCCACCUAUGGGAAUCGUGUGAAGUUCUGAGCCCGGAAGCCAAGGAGGAAGAAGAGGAGGAGGAGGAGUGAGAGGAGGUCAAUCCCUGAGAACCUGUGCACCUUCUCAGCAGGAGACAAGCAGCCACGCUUGUGGGGGGGAGCAGGCUGUGGGGCCCACCCUCACGCCAGCCAGCCUAGUGCCUGCCGUAGCACCCCAGAAGGCCCCCAGCAGUUGGCACUAGCUGUACCCACCUUGCCUGGGGCCCUCGUGCUGGGGGUCUCCCCCAAGAUGGUGGCAGCCCCG
RNAcentral lists this long non-coding RNA (575 nucleotides) under Aotus nancymaae (Ma's night monkey). Its description in RNAcentral is "lncRNA (ENSANAG00000039401.1)". The record is from RNAcentral. Lineage: Eukaryota; Metazoa; Chordata; Mammalia; Primates; Aotidae.